RNAcentral lists this non-coding RNA (30 nucleotides) under Mus musculus (house mouse). The record is from RNAcentral. Lineage: Eukaryota; Metazoa; Chordata; Mammalia; Rodentia; Muridae.
UAAAAUGGCUUAGUUGUAUCAUUUGUGAUG